This 440-nucleotide ribosomal RNA is filed under the name uncultured bacterium. Its description in RNAcentral is "partial 16S ribosomal RNA". It matches the Rfam family "Bacterial small subunit ribosomal RNA", at positions 338 to 795 of the family's 1533-position model. The record is from RNAcentral.
CCUACGGGUGGCAGCAGUGGGGAAUAUUGCACAAUGGGGGAAACCCUGAUGCAGCGACGCCGCGUGAGUGAAGAAGGAUUUCGGUAUGUAAAGCUCUAUCAGCAGGGAAGAAAAUGACGGUACCUGAUUAAGAAGCCCCGGCUAACUACGUGCCAGCAGCCGCGGUCAUACGUAGGGGGCAAGCGUGAUCCGGAAUUACUGGGUGUAAAGGGAGCGUAGACGGUUAAGUAAGUCUGGAGUGAAAGGCCGGGGCUCAACCCCGGGACUGCUCUGGAGACUAUUGAACUAGAGUGCAGGAGAGGUAAGUGGAAUUCCUAGUGUAGCGGUGAAAUGCGUAGAUAUUAGGAGGAACACCAGUGGCGAAGGCGGCUUACUGGACUGUAACUGACGUUGAGGUGCGAAAGCGUGGGGAGCAAACAGGAUUAGAUACCCGAGUAGUC